RNAcentral lists this ribosomal RNA (460 nucleotides) under uncultured bacterium. RNAcentral describes it as "partial 16S ribosomal RNA". It matches the Rfam family "Bacterial small subunit ribosomal RNA", at positions 338 to 795 of the family's 1533-position model. The record is from RNAcentral.
CCUACGGGCGGCUGCAGUGAGGAAUAUUGGUCAAUGGACGCAAGUCUGAACCAGCCAUGCCGCGUGCAGGAAGACGGCUCUAUGAGUUGUAAACUGCUUUUGUACGAGGGUAAACGCAGAUACGCGUCUCUGUCUGAAAGUAUCGUACGAAUAAGGAUCGGCUAACUCCGUGCCAGCAGCCGCGGUAAUACGGAGGAUUCAAGCGUUAUCCGGAUUUAUUGGGUUUAAAGGGUGCGUAGGCGGUCGGAUAAGUUAGAGGUGAAAUCCCGAGGCUCAACCUCGGAAUUGCCUCUGAUACUGUGCGGCUAGAGAGUAGUAGCGGUAGGCGGAAUGUAUGGUGUAGCGGUGAAAUGCUUAGAGAUCAUACAGAACACCGAUUGCGAAGGCAGCUUACCGGGCUACUUCUGACGUUGAGGCACGAAAGCGUGGGGAGCAAACAGGAUUAGAUACCCCAGUAGUC